This 486-nucleotide ribosomal RNA is filed under the name uncultured bacterium. RNAcentral's name for it is "bacterial SSU rRNA". It matches the Rfam family "Bacterial small subunit ribosomal RNA", at positions 30 to 507 of the family's 1533-position model. The record is from RNAcentral.
UUGAACGCUGGCGGCAUGCCUAACACAUGCAAGUCGAACGGCAGCACGGGAGCUUGCUCCUGGUGGCGAGUGGCGGACGGGUGAGUAAUGCAUAGGAAUCUGCCCAGUAGCGGGGGACAACUUGGGGAAACUCAAGCUAAUACCGCAUACGCCCUACGGGGGAAAGCGGGGGACCUUCGGGCCUCGCACUAUUGGAUGAGCCUAUGUCAGAUUAGCUUGUUGGUGGGGUAAAGGCCUACCAAGGCGACGAUCUGUAGCUGGUCUGAGAGGACGAUCAGCCACACUGGGACUGAGACACGGCCCAGACUCCUACGGGAGGCAGCAGUGGGGAAUAUUGCACAAUGGGCGAAAGCCUGAUGCAGCAAUGCCGCGUGUGUGAAGAAGGCCUGCGGGUUGUAAAGCACUUUCAGUAGGGAGGAAACAGUAGCCGGUUAAUAUCCGGUUGCCUUGACGUUACCUACAGAAGAAGCACCGGCUAACUCUGUG